UUCAAGUCAAGAAAACCCUCGUAUGGAGUAUAGCCAAGUGGUAAGGCAUCGGUUUUUGGUACCGGCAUGCAAA
This 73-nucleotide transfer RNA is filed under the name Gastrodia kachinensis. RNAcentral describes it as "tRNA-Gln". Lineage: Eukaryota; Viridiplantae; Streptophyta; Magnoliopsida; Asparagales; Orchidaceae. The record is from RNAcentral.